RNAcentral lists this ribosomal RNA (658 nucleotides) under uncultured Bacilli bacterium. Its description in RNAcentral is "bacterial SSU rRNA". It matches the Rfam family "Bacterial small subunit ribosomal RNA", at positions 75 to 718 of the family's 1533-position model. The record is from RNAcentral. Lineage: Bacteria; Bacillati; Bacillota; Bacilli.
GGAGCUUGCUUCUCUUUAGUUAGCGGCGGACGGGUGAGUAACACGUGGGCAACCUGCCCUAUAGUUGGGGAUAACUCCGGGAAACCGGGGCUAAUACCGAAUAACUCAUUUCAACUCCUGUUGAAAUGCUGAAAGAUGGUUCUGCUAUCGCUAUAGGAUGGGCCCGCGGCGCAUUAGCUAGUUGGUGAGGUAACGGCUCACCAAGGCGACGAUGCGUAGCCGACCUGAGAGGGUGAUCGGCCACACUGGGACUGAGACACGGCCCAGACUCCUACGGGAGGCAGCAGUAGGGAAUCUUCCACAAUGGGCGAAAGCCUGAUGGAGCAACGCCGCGUGAGUGAAGAAGGUUUUCGGAUCGUAAAACUCUGUUGUAAGGGAAGAACAAGUGCAGUAGUAACUGGCUGCACCUUGACGGUACCUUAUUAGAAAGCCACGGCUAACUACGUGCCAGCAGCCGCGGUAAUACGUAGGUGGCAAGCGUUGUCCGGAAUUAUUGGGCGUAAAGCGCGCGCAGGUGGUUUCUUAAGUCUGAUGUGAAAGCCCACGGCUCAACCGUGGAGGGUCAUUGGAAACUGGGAGACUUGAGUGCAGAAGAGGAAAGUGGAAUUCCAAGUGUAGCGGUGAAAUGCGUAGAGAUUUGGAGGAACACCAGUGGCGA